Sinocyclocheilus grahami is the source of this 235-nucleotide long non-coding RNA. RefSeq lists it as uncharacterized. The record is from RefSeq and is a predicted model, not a curated record. The transcript has 5 exons. Lineage: Eukaryota; Metazoa; Chordata; Actinopteri; Cypriniformes; Cyprinidae.
ACAGCUGCCAACCAGACCAGUCACUGAUGAAGAAGAAAAGUAUGAGUCUGUUUUGAAUAUCAUCAGGAGACUGUGCAACAAAGAUGCAAACCUAAACUGCACCAGUUAUCAAAACCUGUGAAAAGACAUCAUCCAUCUCCACACUCUUUCAUUUUACUUCCAAGAGAAAAAAUGCUUUCCAGAAGGUGUGGGGAUCAAUUCUACGCUGGAUUUACUGUUACAGUGUUUAUCGACA